RNAcentral lists this ribosomal RNA (484 nucleotides) under uncultured bacterium. RNAcentral's name for it is "partial 16S ribosomal RNA". It matches the Rfam family "Bacterial small subunit ribosomal RNA", at positions 30 to 507 of the family's 1533-position model. The record is from RNAcentral.
AUUGAACGCUGGCGGCAGGCCUAACACAUGCAGGUCGAGCGGAUGAAGGGAGCUUGCUCCUGGAUUCAGCGGCGGACGGGUGAGUAAUGCCUAGGAAUCUGCCUGGUAGUUGGGGAUAACGUCCGGAAACGGGCGCUAAUACCGCAUACGUCCUGAUGUAGAAAGUGGGGGAUCUUCGGACCUCACGCUAUCAGAUGAGCCUAGGUCGGAUUAGCUAGUUGGUGGGGUAAAGGCCUACCAAGGCGACGAUCCGUAACUGGUCUGAGAGGAUGAUCAGUCACACUGGAACUGAGACACGGUCCAGACUCCUACGGGAGGCAGCAGUGGGGAAUAUUGGACAAUGGGCGAAAGCCUGAUCCAGCAAUGCCGCGUGUGUGAAGAAGGUCUUCGGAUUGUAAAGCACUUUAAGUUGGGAGGAAGGGCAGUAAGUUAAUACAUUGCUGUUUUGACGUUACCAACAGAAUAAGCACCGGCUAACUUCGUG